CAGUAGCCGCGGGAAUACGUAGGGUGCAAGCGUUAAUCGGAAUUACUGGGCGUAAAGCGUGCGCAGGCGGUUAUGUAAGACAGAUGUGAAAUCCCCGGGCUCAACCUGGGAAUUGCAUUUGUGACUGCAUGGCUAGAGUGUGUCAGAGGGGGGUAGAAUUCCACGUGUAGCAGUGAAAUGCGUAGAUAUGUGGAGGAAUACCGAUGGCAAAGGCAGCCCCCUGGGAUAACACUGACGCUCAUGCACGAAAGCGUGGGGAGCAAACAGGAUUAGAUACCCCUGUAGUCCCUGUCUCUUAUAA
Molecule: ribosomal RNA, 301 nt
Filed under: uncultured bacterium
Lineage: Bacteria
Description: partial 16S ribosomal RNA
Rfam family: Bacterial small subunit ribosomal RNA
Source: RNAcentral